UGGGGAAUAUUGCGCAAUGGGCGAAAGCCUGACGCAGCGACGCCGCGUGAGGGACGAAGGCCUUCGGGUCGUAAACCUCUUUCAGCAGGGAAGAAGCGAAAGUGACGGUACCUGCAGAAGAAGCACCGGCUAACUACGUGCCAGCAGCCGCGGUAAUACGUAGGGUGCAAGCGUUGUCCGGAAUUAUUGGGCGUAAAGAGCUCGUAGGCGGCUUGUCACGUCUGCUGUGAAAACUCGGGGCUCAACCCCGAGCCUGCAGUGGAUACGGGCUAGCUAGAGUGCGGUAGGGGAGACUGGAAUUCCUGGUGUAGCGGUGAAAUGCGCAGAUAUCAGGAGGAACACCGGUGGCGAAGGCGGGUCUCUGGACCGAUACUGACGCUGAGGAGCGAAAGCGUGGGGAGCGAACAGGAUUAGAUACCU
This 420-nucleotide ribosomal RNA is filed under the name uncultured bacterium. RNAcentral describes it as "bacterial SSU rRNA". It matches the Rfam family "Bacterial small subunit ribosomal RNA", at positions 355 to 787 of the family's 1533-position model. The record is from RNAcentral.